UCCCUGGUGGCUCAGUGGUAAAGAAUCUGUCUGCAAUGCAGGAGACCCAGGUUCGAUCCCUGGGUUGGGAA
This 71-nucleotide transfer RNA is filed under the name Capra hircus (goat). It matches the Rfam family "tRNA". From Rfam's summary of the family: Transfer RNA (tRNA) molecules are approximately 80 nucleotides in length. RNAcentral also lists the same sequence under 1 other name. The record is from Rfam by way of RNAcentral. Lineage: Eukaryota; Metazoa; Chordata; Mammalia; Artiodactyla; Bovidae.